ACUUAGUUGGUAGAGUACAAAGCUCUUAACCUUGUGGACGUGGGUUCAAGCCCCAU
Triticum aestivum (bread wheat) is the source of this 56-nucleotide non-coding RNA. The record is from Rfam. NCBI's taxonomy places the organism in Eukaryota, Viridiplantae, Streptophyta, Magnoliopsida, Poales, Poaceae.